GCCAUGCCAGUAUGGUGAUUAUAACUCUCGGCUUGUAUCCGAGUGGGUUCGGGUUCAAAUCCCGAGUAAGACA
RNAcentral lists this transfer RNA (73 nucleotides) under Trichonephila inaurata madagascariensis. It matches the Rfam family "tRNA". From Rfam's summary of the family: Transfer RNA (tRNA) molecules are approximately 80 nucleotides in length. Their secondary structure includes four short double-helical elements and three loops (D, anti-codon, and T loops). Further hydrogen bonds mediate the characteristic L-shaped molecular structure. tRNAs have two regions of fundamental functional importance: the anti-codon, which is responsible for specific mRNA codon recognition, and the 3' end, to which the tRNAs corresponding amino acid is attached (by aminoacyl-tRNA synthetases). tRNAs cope with the degeneracy of the genetic code in two manners: having more than one tRNA (with a specific anti-codon) for a particular amino acid; and 'wobble' base-pairing, i.e. permitting non-standard base-pairing at the 3rd anti-codon position. Lineage: Eukaryota; Metazoa; Arthropoda; Arachnida; Araneae; Nephilidae. The record is from Rfam by way of RNAcentral.